AUGUCGGCUCGCAACGCUAUGGCAGCAAUGCUCGACGAGCUAAUGGGUCCCAAACGGAAUGUUGAACUAGGAAAAGACACAAAAGUCACAUUUGAUGAUCCUGACAUAUGCCCGUACUUCCUGGUCGGUUUCUGUCCUCACGACAUGUUCAUCAAUACAAAGGCAGAUUUGGGAGCGUGCCAGCUAGUACAUGACGAUAAUCUUCGAAGAUUGUAUCCAGAAUCUCCAGAAUAUGGACAACUUGGCUUUGAAAGACGUCUUAUGCGGUUUCUCGUUCAAUUAGAUGAAGAUAAUCAGCGAAGAAUUCGAAAGAACAAAGACAAAUUGUCCGGAAUGGAUGAUAGUGGAAAGCGAAAGUUAGAGGAAGAGAAGCGUCAGGUACAAUUGGAGAUCAAUUCGAUAGAUGAUGUCCUGAAAAAUAUGAUACGAGACGCAGAGCAAGCCGGCAGUGAGGGAAAUGUGACAAAAUGCCAGGAAAUAGUCGCGAGAAGCGAGAUGGUUGAAGCUGAAAAACGAGGUCUUGAAGAGAAACUUUCACAAAUGAACGAACCGAACCCACAAGCCAUGCCACCGAUGCUUGACGAAAUGGCAAUUAAGCCAAUGGAGGUUUGUGAAGUGUGUGGGAGCAUGCUCAUCGUGAAUGACGCUCAACAGCGUAUCGAAGAACAUUUGACUGGAAAAAUGCACACAGGUUUCCAAAAAAUCCGGACUAUGAUUCAACAGCUUAAGAAAAUGGGCUCUGAAAAACGCUGAAAUCUCUCAAGCACACAAGCUGACGUACAGGUAUUCCCCCCAAAAAAAUGGUUCAGGUUUUUUCACCCUCCCACGCCUUUUUACGUGUCAUGGCUCAAAGAGCAGGAAAAGCUGAAGGAGUUUGAACAAGCCGAGGAGACUAAAAGAAAAGAGCGGAGAGAAAAACGUGCUGAAGCAGCAACAACAUCUGACACUGAGCGCCGCCGUCACCGAAGUCGUUCUCCACAUCGUUCCAGUCAUGAUUCCAGGGAUUCCAGGGAUUCCAGAGAUCGUCGAGAGCAUCGUCAUCAUGGAUAUGAUAGAGAUCGGAGACACCACAGAGAUCGAAGAUAUUAG
Molecule: unclassified non-coding RNA, 1089 nt
Filed under: Caenorhabditis elegans
Lineage: Eukaryota; Metazoa; Nematoda; Chromadorea; Rhabditida; Rhabditidae
Description: Non-coding transcript of protein-coding gene luc-7L3
Source: RNAcentral